UCCUCCUACACAGGCGUGUCUUUUGCUCCCCAACUUUGAACAUGUAAGAAUUGGAGCCAAAGAAAUGGGGAAUUGGAGACAUGUAGAGAUGGCUUGUUCUCCACAGGCUCAAGAUCAACUGUCCCACAUAA
Molecule: small nucleolar RNA, 131 nt
Organism: Octodon degus (degu)
Lineage: Eukaryota; Metazoa; Chordata; Mammalia; Rodentia; Octodontidae
Source: Ensembl